RNAcentral lists this ribosomal RNA (253 nucleotides) under uncultured bacterium. Its description in RNAcentral is "partial 16S ribosomal RNA". It matches the Rfam family "Bacterial small subunit ribosomal RNA", at positions 524 to 776 of the family's 1533-position model. The record is from RNAcentral.
GACGAACCGUGCGAACGUUAUUCGGAAUCACUGGGCUUAAAGGGCGCGUAGGCGGGCAACCAAGUCCGGGGUGAAAUCCUCCAGCUCAACUGGAGAAGUGCCUCGGAUACUGGCUGCCUCGAGGAGGGUAGGGGCAUCUGGAACUAGCGGUGGAGCGGUGAAAUGCGUUGAUAUCGCUAGGAACUCCGGUGGCGAAGGCGAGGUGCUGGACCCUUUCUGACGCUGAGGCGCGAAAGCGUGGGGAGCAAACAGG